GGGACUCACACGGCUGAUCCUGACUCUGACAGAGAGAAGCACAUCGAUUCCCCAGAGGAACGAGAGGCACAGGCAUUGCCCCCAUGAUACUCACUGAGAAGAUGUGUCCCCUUCCUUUUGCCUGAAAUGUUUCACUUCCUUGACAGAAAUGGAGACCAAGAGUCAACACUCAACAAUGGAGGGUCACCCAACAAUGGAGAG
This 201-nucleotide long non-coding RNA is filed under the name Felis catus (domestic cat). Its description in RNAcentral is "lncRNA (ENSFCAG00000052560.1, ENSFCTG00005028503.1)". The record is from RNAcentral. Lineage: Eukaryota; Metazoa; Chordata; Mammalia; Carnivora; Felidae.